AUAAAUUUAAGGCUAGCACUGCAGUUUAAUUUCCCUGUCAUCCAUUUAAAUAUGCGAUCAGCAAAGCGGGAUGUCAUAUUCAGUGCCAUGCAUACCAGACAAAACCUUGGUGGUUAACUUUUGUUCUAUGCCAUGCUAAGAAUGGUGUGCCAUCACUAGGAAUAUGGGAACUCUAGGCGCGCAAGUGUUUUAGGGUAAGAAUUUUAGACACUUGAAUAGUUUUGGUUCUGUUUACAGGAAUACUUGCUUUGAUAUUUUUUCUUUUAUUUUUUUUUUCAUCCAUUUGAAGGACUCUUUGGGAGCAGGUAGGACAAAGAAUAAAAUUAUGGGUCGCCAAGCCUUCUAGGGUUUGUUUCAAGAACCUUGGAAGACUCAACUUUGUAUGAAAUUUUCUCCAUGGUAGGAGUACUUAAGAUCUGUUGGCAUAAAUGCUUUUGUUUCUAAUAAAUUAUAUUAGAAGAACUCCGAUCAAAUGAAGUCCAAUUAAGCAUAAGUUAUCACUUGAUAGAAAUUUCUUUAUUACCGAAGAAAUAUCAUAUUUAUGUUUUGUACCCUAGUCAUGUUAUUUUAUUUUAUAUUGUUUGUAUUUUCAUUUUUUUUGUAUUUAUCUUUUUUUAUUUUUUCUUAUAUUUUGAUUGCAUUCUUUAUACCUUUGAUUGUAUUCUUUAUAUAUUUUAUCAUGUUCUUCGUACGUACCAAAUUAAAAGAGUAAUUGCAUGUAACUUAAUAUGGAGUGUUUUAUUUUUCGAAAAGUCGAAAUUUUGAAAUAAGUGAUAUUUUCAUAUAGCAUGUGAUUUGUUGUCUGUUCUAACAAUUAUAACUAUUUGUUAGCAACAUUCAAGUGAAGGCCAAGGAAAAAUACCUUCAACUUACGAGAACAAGACAAGUUGAAGGUACUUGAAAAAGAAAAAGCUACAACCCUCCAAUUUUUCGUACACAAAGUUACACGUGAUCACUAACUUGAAGAAAAGGACAUUCGGGUUUAUGUUGGGCAGUUGAGUUGAAUGAGAAUUGAAAGGUCAUCGCAGUGUAGCUACUUGAGUUGAAUGAGAAUUGAAAGAAAGGAAGAUUAGGGUUUAUGCUAAGUACUUGAGAUGGUUGCGAAAGAUCGACAUUAAUUUUCUUAAUAUAAUCGAUGUUAAACACAAGGGCAAGAAAAUCUAUCAAACAUAAACUAAUCGAUACAUAAUGAGUCAACAAUGCCGCAAAGUGCACACGGCAUACCAAUCCCCAUAAGAAAUGUAAUGCUUUAUCCGCGUCAAAAAUCAACGGUAGUUAGGGCCAAGUGGCACACCGGCCUUCAAGGAUGAAGCUUAGUGGCAUCUAUGAUCUAUGGAGUACUCAAGUCAAAAAAGGUCUUCCCAAUUUCAUAUUGCCAUUAGGAAGGAAACAUCCUGUUACCAUCACUAUAUAUCUUGCAUACAUCAAGACUAGUCCAAUUAAGCCCUAGUCCACUAAGUGAACUUAAGAGGUCAUAGAGGCAGUUGAAAAAGGUCUGUGAGUGGACAAGUUUAUUCUCAGAAUAUACCUUUCCAUUCACAUGUUUGCUACACAUUUUUCCCAAGUUUCCUCGUUACAAUCAUUACUAUGUUGACCUCUUUUAGGGUCCUCCGAGUUCUUUCUCUACUGAAGUCAACUAAUGGGAGCUCUAAAUGUUAAAUAUGAGUCUUGUGUGCAGUUUGUACCAUUAAUCUCGAAGUGGUGAAGGCACUAAAACACUAGAAUAUGAUUGAAGUGCAUAUGAUAUGAUAGGAUUCCCAAGACAAAUCCAUGAAUCUACAUAUGGGUUGGCUCUAGGGUUCUCAAUACGAAAGUCAGGAUGGUCUGCGCGGCAACAUGUGGCGUAGAUCGUGGCGAUAAUCCAUGGGCAAGGAGCACAAGACUGUAGAAGAUGAAUUUCUACAAGUUUUUUAUUUUUGGGGUGGUAAUCAUUGAUCUGGAGACAAAAGAACAUGUAGGGUUGGUUUGUGUUUUUAGAAUGUUGUAUUAUAUUGUAUGUAUAAGCAAGGCAAAAGUACUUCUUAAGAUGGUUUCUAAAUCAUGUUUUUUUCGUAUGAUUGCGCUAAUGACCCUUCAUUCUUCCCUUUUCCAUUUUUAAAAUUUAGGAGGUUUAUACUCUCUAUGUAUUUUAUUCAUAAAGCAAGCGACAAAAUGAUCCAAAUUUUUAGUGGUAUUAGUUCUAAGGAUAUUCUUUCCCGGUAUUUACUCACCA
This 2212-nucleotide long non-coding RNA is filed under the name Vitis vinifera (wine grape). Its description in RNAcentral is "long non-coding RNA (VVIN_LNC002769)". The record is from RNAcentral. Lineage: Eukaryota; Viridiplantae; Streptophyta; Magnoliopsida; Vitales; Vitaceae.